Molecule: ribosomal RNA, 460 nt
Filed under: uncultured bacterium
Lineage: Bacteria
Description: partial 16S ribosomal RNA
Rfam family: Bacterial small subunit ribosomal RNA
Source: RNAcentral
CCUACGGGAGGCAGCAGUGAGGAAUAUUGGUCAAUGGGCGCGAGCCUGAACCAGCCAAGUAGCGUGAAGGAUGACUGCCCUACGGGUUGUAACCUUCUUUUAUAAAGGAAUAAAGUGAGGCACGUGUGCCUUUUUGUAUGUACUUUAUGAAUAAGCAUCGGCUAACGCCGUGCCAGCAGCCGCAGUAAUAAGGAGGAUUCGAGCGUUAUCCGGAUUUAUUGGGUUUAAAGGGAGCGUAGAUGGGUUGUUACGUCAGUUGUGAAAGUUUGCGGCUCAACCGUAAAAUUGCCAUUGAUACUGGCAGUCUUGAGUACAGGUGAGGUAGGCGGAAUUCGUGGUGUAGCGGUGAAAUGCUUAGAUAUCACGAAGAACUCCGAUUGCGAAGGCAGCUUACUAAACUGCCACUGACAUUGAUGCACGAAAGUGUGGGUAGCAAACAGGAUUAGAUACCCCAGUAGUC